CUUUUAUAAUUAGAAAAAAAUGUAGAUAAAUAUUGUUUGGAUUUCAUAGUGCCAUCUUGGUAACUUUUCAAAUAUUUAUACUAUUCUUACAUUUUUUUUCAAUGCUAAUGCAGAUUAUGGUUCCACCUUUCUAUUAGAUAUAUUGGAUCUGCUCUGUGAGAAGUCCUAUUGUACUGAGAAUUUACUUGAGGUAGGAAAUUACCCUAGGUUUUAAGUUAAAUUUUAGAUUUUAAAGGACUUGCCUACAUUUUUUUUUAAGAUUUCCCUAAUAAAAUGAGUAGCAUAGCAUGCCCACUUGGCAAAAUUUUGGGACGGCUGUUGGCAGGUCAGGGCGUCUGGGUGUGGGUGAGGCAAGGGCCACCUCUCUGUGCUGCUUCUGCCCAUCUACCCAUCUCCUUUAUUUGUUGUGCACCUGUGUUCACACAGCAGGAGGUAUGAUUAUCUCUUUCCUUAAUCCGAAGUGUGGAGGGGUUGUGCAAACGGUUUUAGGUGGUAUGCAGCUAGAACAAUUUUUUUUUAAGUUGCUAAACUAUUUCAGUGCCCUGUGACUUUACAGAUACUCCUCCAAAUAGACAAAACAUUAAGUCUAUUAAAGAUGCAGUAAGUAAAUAAUAAUGAUGCAAAUGACACAGAUAUGGCAAAACCAGCAUUUGUGAGCAGAAGGCUGAAAUUUGGAAAGCACUGCCACGUGAUACAGUGCUUGGGUUUUGUGUUCGAAAUGUAGUGUUUUAUAUUUGUGUAUUCACUGCUUUUAAAUAAUGUUGGGGGAUCCCUGGGUGGCUCAGCGGUUUAGUGCCUGCCUUUGGGCCAGGGCAUGAGCCUGGAGACCCGGGAUCGGGUCCCGCGUCAGGCUCCCUGUAUGGGGCCUGCUUCUCCCUCUGCCUGUGUCUCUGCCUCUUUCUGUGUCUCUCCUGAAUAAAUUAAAUAAAUAAAUAAAUAAAUAAAUAAAUAAAGUUCACAGUAUUUCCUGUAUAUGUACCUUUUCUGUUUUAUUUAAGAAAUUAGCCAACUUCCCUCAGCUUAGGUAUGUUUUCAUCCUUCUUUUUCUUAUUUGGUUUCAAUAUUAUUGCAAUAUGACACAGUGAGAUUUUGUUGAAUUUAUUAAAUGCAUUGUUACUUCCUAGAUUCAAUUAUAAUCACCCUCUUCUAAUUACUGCAAUCUUGAAAAAGAAAAAAUUCUUCUUCAACAGCAUAUGUGGGGUCCCAUAAACUCCCCAUGGUAGGUGGGGAUUACGGUUUGGCGAGCCUGACAGACCAGGGGAGGUUUGGACAGCCUGCAGGCCACAUCCGACACUCCUGAUGGCUUCACGGCAAUGGGCGUGACUGAUGUGGGCAGCGAGUCUGGGAGUUCCUGCCGAGCUGGCACCCAUUUCAUUACCUGUUUCAGAGAGACUCCUUGUCUGAGGACAGAGGAGGUGUGACCCUGCACAUGGGGGUCUGUGGAGCUCCGGUGAACACAAAAGGAGGAAAUGAGGGGCAGGACAGGUCUUCAGGGGGAAAGCCAGGUUAAGUCAGGUAUGCUAUGUUCGAAAUACCUACUGGGGAUACAGAUCAGAGACGUGAUACCCAAACUCUAAUGAACACUUUCUAGAGUAUUCUCAUUGCAGAAGUCUAGUGGAUGAAUUCCAGAACAUACAGGUCUCAGCUCUCAUUUCUUCAUGGUGUUUAUAGGAUCCUCUCUCUCUCUCUUUAAUCUAAAACCUUGACAAGUAGGUGCCUGGAAUUGGAAAGAGGGGUGGAGCCUUUCUUUUAAAAUUGCUUUUGGGCAAGUCUCGCUGCCUGUAUAGUAUCAAUGCCAAGAUUCACUUUCGGUCAGGAAAGUUUCUGGAAUUCACUUUUGAAUUAUUCAUUUCCACAUUGCUGUAAGGGCUUGAAAGUUAUAUGUGGGUUGCAACGUGGCCCUGCUUGCAUAUGGUGUGAUCUUGUGCAAGCACCGAAUCUGUCCAUGUGCAAGCCUCAGUGUCCAUGUUUGUGCACUUGAUACAGGACACCUGCCUCCCUGGGUUGGGGAGAUUAAAUGAGAUAAUGUUUGCAUAUGCACCAGAGUGAGGUUAUUACUUCCAGGACCAUCUUUGGUACCACUGCUGCCACCAACCACCACCUACUCGACAGCAAGGGGACCUCUGGCUUCUUUCCCCAGGUCUUCUGGCUCCUUUGGUGUUAUCAUUGUUAUGUGCUUCCACCUUGUUUUUGGACAGUGACCCACAUGACAUCUACUAUGAUCACAAGCUUAGUAUUUGAAUACCAGUAACCCGUCCUGCCUUCACUGGCAUUUACAUUUCUUUUUCUUUUUAAAACAGUUCGUGUAAACCCAAAUGCACUGGAGUAAGAGUUUUCAGGGAGGGUCCCAGCCCAGGGACCCUCUUCCUCACCCUUCCCCACCUCCCCAUGGAGCAGUUAUUGGUAACUGGACCAGAGAUGGUAUUUUUCUCUAAAUUUCCUCUUAAUUUUUAGAGAGUUCCUCACUGGACUUUGUUGGCUGUCCUUUAUUUGGGGUAUUACUCUCACUUUGAGUAUUCAGCCCAAGGAAAGCUAUACUUCUGGCCAUCUUCCUGAAAGUCUGUCUUUCCUAAAUGCUACAAAAGUGACACACUCCAGUAGGGUACUGAUUAUUAAGGACUGACAGAUCCUCUGUCUUUAGUAGUAUGCGUAUUUGGAAGAAAGUGAGUCCAAAGUUGCAAUGUCUGUCCUUCAGCCAGAGAGGCAGAUACCAGGGACUAUUGUUUGGAAAUUUAUGAGGACUUUGUUGUAGCGUGCAAAUCCCCUGGCCACCAAAGGCAACCUCAUAAGGAAAGUAUGCACUGAAACAAUGGAGGUGUUGGAAAUGGUUUGCAUUACAUCCAGGAAUGAUAUUAAUAGACCAAAAAUAUUAAUUCCCCGGCUGAAGUUUAUCAGUGGGAUGUGGUGAUGGUCUGGCUCCAUCAGCACCGUGUACUUUGGCAAGUUGAGAUCUUUUUCUGUCUCCUCAUCUGUGCAGAGAGGAAGUACACAGGUAAGUCACCCAUCCUGCUCUGAAGACAGGAAUGGGAGAUAACUGUGUGCAGAGCCCUGUGCCCUGGUGGGGACCCCAGGUCAUUACUGGUUUGUGCAGAAAUAUACUGUGUGGUGGAGGAGGUAAUGCACACAGGAAGUGAUGCCAGAGUAACUGCAGUCAACACACACACAAGCAGAAGCUACAUACAAAGUGCAGCCAACAUCCUAUUGGGAGUUUCCUGGUAUAAAAUGCUCGUUACAGGAAAUUUGGAAAAUAAAAAACAAACGGAAAAAAAAGAAGAAAUCACUUAGAGUCCCAUCACCCAGAGAAGACCAUGGUGAACAUUUUUGCCCUAUUUUCUUUGAGGCCUUUUAUAUUGUAGCACAAGAAAAAAAAAACUAUUAUCAUAUGUUAUGUGUAUGAUCUUAUUUGCUGGAACAGAAUACACAGAACACUUUACUGUAACUCAAUGGAUAGAUGAGUGCAUGUUGUUAGCUCUUGAUAAGUAUCAUGUUUAUUGUUUUAGGAUCAUCUGGCAUGAGGAUUUACCACAGCCCACCUAGUAAUCUCCCUCUUGGACAUUUGGUUGUUUAUAUUUUUCACUAUUACAAAUAAUGCUAUCCAAAAUGCAUAUUUUGGUGUAUCAUGAUUUUUUCCAUUUUUAAAAUUUUUUCCUUUUGAAUUCCUCUCCUGGACAAAUGCUGGAACAUUUGUACUCUGUUGGAGAGUCAUGGGAAGGACUUUGUCCUCUACUCUGAGAACUCUGCAAACAGUGCUAAGUAGCACAUAGCUUGAUGUUUAAGAGGGGUCUACUGGGAGGGUUGUUUUUUCCUGUAGUUAUGGAGCAACUACUACUUAUACCCAAAGUGUUAAGAAAGAAGGGGUCUGAAUCUUCAGUGGGCAUAGGGUCCCCUCCAGGAAGUUCUGGCCCUGUGGUGGCGAAGCAGGUACUCCAUUCCAGAAGAGCCUCUCCAGAUGCCUAGCCCCUGCCUGCCUGGCCAGACAAAACUGGCAUGCUGGGGAGGUGAGGGUGGUGGUGCGUGACCCAAAGUCCCAGGGCAGGAAGGUCUUGAAGCAGAUUCACUCUGCUACAAGGGAAUGACACAGAAUAGCCCUGAAUACCUGCCGGAGUUUAUCUCCAUCCCUAUGCAUUUUCUGCUGCAUAGAAAACAUGACUCUCCAGAGGCGUGACCAUAUUCCUCCUCUUUUUCCUGGACGAUUGGCUCUAAUUUUCGAUUAUUCAUUGCUUCCAGGUUGGAUAGCUAGUAUGUUUGUUUCCUGAACUGACCCGACAGGCUCCAGGGAGCAGGAUGAGAGAGGGGGGUUCUUGGGGCUGCAGAGGAGGAUGGGCGGGUGAAGGGCGGUGGCGGCAUCGCACAUGGAGCUGGGCAAGACCUUUCUGCUCCCCUCAGAUCUGAGAUCCUGUGAUCUUCAGGGCUGGCUUCCAGCUGGCGGAGCCCCUGGUGCAACUCAGCCUGUGGUCCCUAAUCUUGGAGAGCGUCUUUCAUCUUCCUCCAGCCUGUGGGUGGUUGUGAUGAAGCUGAGUUUCACCAUCUCAAAGCCUGAGGUCCAAUUAGUGAUAAUAUAUUCUUUUCCAGGCCUCUAAAGUUUGGAGUGAGAACCCAAGCCCCCUCCCCCACCCUGAGGCCACAACCUUCAGUUUGUUGACAAUUCAGAGCAUCUAAAUUCCUGCUUCUCUGUGAAGAAAAAUGAAAUCUCAGCAAUAAGAGUCCAGUCCUGACUGCAGGAGAGAACUCUGCACACUGUGCUGUUUAACUGUGGGGGUGCCCCGGUGCUGCUGCCACCUGCCAGCCCUCCACCUGUGGUUCCACCCUCCUACUGAGGAGACUAUCACCAGAUCUGACGACCAUCUUGGUGGCACCUGCUGCUGGCAGGGCUUUAGGAUCAUUGUCCAGAAAAAUCUCAAACCUCGGGUUCCUGCAUUUCAUUCUUUCCUCAGUGUCUGUCAGUAACUCUCUGUUCAGUGGGGCUUUAGUACAGGCACCCUAGGGCUGCAGACAUGGUCACUGGCCAGAUGGAGCAGACACUAUCGAUCUAGGAGUGGCCAAGAAAUUGGGGCCCUCACCCUGACGCGAGCUCCCUCCCCACAGAAGAGAGGACUCGUCUACAUUUAGCCAAACAGCUAUGGGGCAGCAUAUCUUUCCAGGGAGGAAAUGAUAUGGGGUCCAGAUGGGGCCACGGUGCCUCCUGAGGACUGCAGUAUGGAGCAGGGCAGCUUGGGUGAGUCUCAUAGCACACUGAGGGAGAGAAUCCAGAUGCAAAGAGUGCAAACCGCGUGAAUCCAUCUCCACAAAGUUCAAACAGGCCACACUUUUCAUCGAUAGAGCCGUGAGCACCUGGCUGCCUCUGGUGGAGGUGGGGUCACUGGGAAGGGGAAUGAGGGGACCUCUUGGCAGUUUGGAGAGUUCCUGUCUCUUUUUUUUUUUUUAAUUUUUAUGUAUUUAUGAUAGUCACACAGAGAGAGAGAGAGAGA
Molecule: long non-coding RNA, 5468 nt
Filed under: Canis lupus familiaris (dog)
Lineage: Eukaryota; Metazoa; Chordata; Mammalia; Carnivora; Canidae
Description: lncRNA (ENSCAFG00000057539.1)
Source: RNAcentral